This 257-nucleotide ribosomal RNA is filed under the name uncultured bacterium. RNAcentral's name for it is "partial 16S ribosomal RNA". It matches the Rfam family "Bacterial small subunit ribosomal RNA", at positions 57 to 305 of the family's 1533-position model. The record is from RNAcentral.
GCAAGUCGAGGGGUAACAGAUGUAAAGCUUGCUUUAUAUGCUGACGACCGGCGCACGGGUGAGUAACACGUAUGCAACCUACCUUUUACAGGAGAAUAACCCAGAGAAAUUUGGACUAAUACUCCAUGACAUUUGUUAAUCGCAUGAUUGAUAAAUUAAAGCUCCGGCGGUAAAAGAUGGGCAUGCGUCCUAUUAGUUAGUUGGUAAGGUAACGGCUUACCAAGACUAUGAUAGGUAGGGGGUCUGAGAGGAUUAUC